Molecule: ribosomal RNA, 256 nt
Filed under: uncultured bacterium
Lineage: Bacteria
Description: partial 16S ribosomal RNA
Rfam family: Bacterial small subunit ribosomal RNA
Source: RNAcentral
UACGAAGGGGGGCUAGCGUUGCUCGGAAUUACUGGGCGUAAAGCGCACGUAGGCGGCUCGUUAAGUCGGAGGUGAAAUCCUGGAGCUCAACUCCAGAACUGCCUUCGAUACUGAUGAGCUCGAGUUCGGGAGAGGUGAGUGGAACUGCGAGUGUAGAGGUGAAAUUCGUAGAUAUUCGCAAGAACACCAGUGGCGAAGGCGGCUCACUGGCCCGAUACUGACGCUGAGGUGCGAAAAGCGUGGGGAGCAAACAGGG